This 301-nucleotide ribosomal RNA is filed under the name uncultured bacterium. RNAcentral describes it as "partial 16S ribosomal RNA". It matches the Rfam family "Bacterial small subunit ribosomal RNA", at positions 509 to 807 of the family's 1533-position model. The record is from RNAcentral.
CAGCCGCCACGGGAAUACGUAGGUGGCAAGCGUUGUCCGGAAUUAUUGGGCGUAAAGGGCUCGCAGGCGGUUUCUUAAGUCUGAUGUGAAAGCCCCCGGCUCAACCGGGGAGGGUCAUUGGAAACUGGGAAACUUGAGUGCAGAAGAGGAGAGUGGAAUUCCACGUGUAGCGGUGAAAUGCGUAGAGAUGUGGAGGAACACCAGUGGCGAAGGCGACUCUCUGGCCUGUAACUGACGCUGAGGAGCGAAAGCGUGGGGGGCGAACAGGAUUAGAGACCCGUGUAGUCCCUGUCUCUUAUAC